GGAAGGAUCAUUACCACGUAUCCACGUACCCACCCUCGUGCACUCGUUUUCACCCCUCCCUCGAAUUGCGUACACGGACGUGUGACGCGACAGUUGCGAGUAGAUGUGCGCGAUUCUAUCGCGCAUUCGCUGUCGUGUCCGAUGCCUCUCGGGGCAUCCGUCGCAGUCGCCUCGAGGCUUAGUCUGACGCGUGCGUCGCCUUACUCGGCACACGCACCGUUGGGCGUUACACAUACACAUUUGAGACACCGAUUUUGCUAGUUGACUUAUAUACGGUGAGUACGGUUGCUUCGGCACCCGCUUACCCGUUUGAUUUAUUCGAACUAUAAAACAACUCUUAGCAAUGGAUAUCUAGGUUCUCGCAACGAUGAAGAACGCAGCGAAAUGCGAUACGUAAUGCGAAUUGCAGAAUUCAGUGAAUCAUCAAAUCUUUGAACGCACAUUGCGCUCUUGGGUAGCCCUAGGAGCACGCCUCUCUCAGUAUCGGUUCAACUCCCCUCAGCGGCGUCGAUGACUUUUGUCAUCGGCGCGUCGGCUGGAGAAUGAGAGUCUGCAAUCCUCUUGCAGUCUCUUGAAAUCUAUCGAGUGUCCACUACCAGCGAUCGAUGCCCGACGAACCUUGUGCUCGUCUAGCUCUGCGAACCGCUCGUGCCAGAGUGACGUGAAUACUGACCUUCGGGUCUCCUCUUUUACGUGUAUCUCUGUGUGCGAUCCUGCGGCCCUGCAUGCAGCGAAUCAUCCUUCGUGUGUACACGUUGAGUGUUCCAUUGCGAGCGUGUCGAGUCACUUGACCGACUGCUCGAAUCUUUGAUCUGAGAUGAAGCGAGACAACCCCCUGAAUUUAAGCAUAUUAAUAAGGGGAGGAAAAUAAACUAACAAGGAUUCCCCCAGUAACGGCGAGUGAAGCGGGAGGAGCUCAAUGUGAGAAUCGACCACCUAAGCGGGUUGUCGAGUUGUAGCCUAGUGACGUACUAUCAGCUGGCACCUGGGUAUAAGUUCUUUGGAAUGAGGCGCGAGACAGGGUGAGAGCCCCGUGUACGACCCAAAGCUGUCAGCGUACGAUGUAUGUUCUUCGAGUCGAGUUGUUUGGGAUUGCAGCUCUAAAUGGGUGGUAAGUUUCAUCUAAAGCUAAAUAUAGGCGAGAGACCGAUAGCGAACAAGUACCGUGAGGGAAAGAUGAAAAGAACUUUGAAAAGAGAGUGAAAAGUACUUGAAAUUGCUAAGAGGGAAGCGCUGGGCACGAGUGAUGCUGCGUGUGCAUCGCCUUGAGCCGUCGUAGAGUGUGCGUGCCGUUGGUAACUCGGCAUGCGCGCUCGAUAGAUAGGUUCGGGGUUCAGCAUACGUGGCGAGUCAAGAUCCAUUCGGGCUGUGGGAGAGGGAUGCGAGGAAGGUAGGAGAGCAAUCUCUGUUAAGCCUCGUGUUCGUACCUCGGCCUGGAUGGAGGAAGAAAUAGUGCGCUGCUUGCGGCUUGGUCCGGCGUCUCGCGUGCCUCAGCUAUUCGGAGAGCAAUGCUCUGCGGGUGGGGAAGGGUUCGCCUGGGCGUCGGGUACCUAUGUGCUAUCGCGAUCUUGUACGAAAUCGUGCCCAUCGACCCGUCUUGAAACACGGACCAAGGAGUCUAACAUCUAUGCAAGUAUUUGGGUGUCAAACCCUGAUGCGCAAUGAAAGUGAAGGCAGCUCGACUGCUGAGGUAGGAAGCCGGCAACGGCAGCACUAUCGACCGAUCAUCGCUUGCGAAAGAUUUGAGUAAGAGCAUAUCUGUUGGGACCCGAAAGAUGGUGAUCUAUGCCUGAACAGGGUGAAGCCAGGGGAAACUCUGGUGGAGGCUCGUAGCGAUACUGACGUGCAAAUCGUUCGUCUGAUUUGGGUAUAGGGGCGAAAGACUAAUCGAACCAUCUAGUAGCUGGUUCCCUC
This 1914-nucleotide unclassified non-coding RNA is filed under the name uncultured fungus. RNAcentral's name for it is "sequence contains 18S rRNA gene, ITS1, 5.8S rRNA gene, ITS2, 28S rRNA gene". The stretch from base 809 to 1914 matches the Rfam family "Eukaryotic large subunit ribosomal RNA", at positions 1 to 961 of the family's 3401-position model. The record is from RNAcentral. Lineage: Eukaryota; Fungi.